Molecule: ribosomal RNA, 1185 nt
Filed under: Triticum aestivum (bread wheat)
Lineage: Eukaryota; Viridiplantae; Streptophyta; Magnoliopsida; Poales; Poaceae
Description: partial small subunit ribosomal RNA
Source: RNAcentral
AUGUCCGGCUGCCCCUGCUCCACCUCCGCCUCCGCCUCCUCUCCACUCUCCCUCCUGCCCCCUUCCAGCUCCGUCCCCGCCGCUUCCAGGCGCAGCACCGUCGCCUUCUCCUCCUCGCGCGGCCCACGGAGAGGCGCGCGCGCGAUAGUCGCGGCGAGCAGCGGCAGCAAGGACGAGAAGGCCGAGGCGGGGGAGGAGGAGGAGGGGGAGCCGGCGUUCAACCCGUUCGGGUUCGUCACGGACAACCCGUCCAGCCGCAGCGCCAUCCAGCUGCCCGCGUCGCCCGCCCAGGACGGCAAUGUCGGCCAGAUGCUCUACAGGACGGAGGACAAAGGGAGGGAGUACGGCAAGAGCGUGAGAUCAGGGGAGUUUCGAUGGUUCGUGAGGCAAACAGGUUCUCCUGAUUCACGGCGUGGGACUAUUAUGUUUCUUCACGGUGCUCCAACUCAGUCAUUUAGUUAUCGCACGGUUAUGGCUCAGAUGGCAGAUGCUGGCUACCAUUGCUUUGCUCCUGACUGGAUAGGAUUUGGGUUCAGUGAGAUGCCACAGCCUGGAUAUGGAUUCGAUUUCAAAGAAGAGGAGUUCCACAAGGCAUUUGAUGAACUUCUUGUUACUCUAAAUAUCACUGAACCAUUCUUCUUAGUUGUCCAGGGAUUUCUUGUGGGUUCUUAUGGUCUGACAUGGGCAUUGAAGAACUCGAACAAACUUCUUAAGGUAGCAAUCCUUAACAGCCCACUUACUGUUUCUUCUCCAGUGCCUGGAGUCUUUAAGCAGCUCAGGUUUCCACUUGUGGGCGAAUUUACCUGCCAAAAUGCUAUCCUGGCUGAGAGAUUCAUUGAAGCAGGUAGCCCGUAUGUGCUGAAGUCAGAGAAGGCCGACGUAUACAGAUUGCCGUAUCUAUCAAGUGGAGCACCUGGAUUUGCAUUACUUGAAGCUGCCAGGAAGGCCAAUUUUCAAGAUGUAUUAAGCAGAAUUUCGGCUGGAUUUUCAUCCGACAGCUGGGACAAACCAAUAUUGCUGGCAUGGGGGGAGUCGGACAAGUACCUACCGCUCUCGAUAGCCGAGGAGUUCAAGAAAAACAAUCCAUCAGUGGUGAAACUGAAACCCAUCGAAGGAGCUGGUCACAUGCCGCAAGAGGACUGGCCAGAGAAGGUGGUGACGGCCCUGAAUUCCUUCCUGUAUUAG